ACGACUGCUGCUAAGACUGGAUAGGAGACAAGAAGGCAUCUUCUUGUUUUUAAAAGACCUAGCAAUAGGUAUGCUUAGGGAGGAGCUUGCGUCACAUUAGUUAGUUGGUGGGGUAAAGGCCUACCAAGACUAUGAUGUGUAGCCGGGCUGAGAGGUUGAACGGCCACAUUGGGACUGAGACACGGCCCAAACUCCUACGGGAGGCAGCAGUAGGGAAUUUUCGGCAAUGGAGGAAACUCUGACCGAGCAACGCCGCGUGAACGAUGAGGUAUUUCGGUACGUAAAGUUCUUUUAUUAGGGAAGAAUAAAUGAUGGAAAAAUCAUUCUGACGGUACCUAAUGAAUAAGCCCCGGCUAACUAUGUGCCAGCAGCCGCGGUAAUACAUAGGGGGCAAGCGUUAUCCGGAAUUAUUGGGCGUAAAGAGUGCGUAGGCGGUUAAAUAAGUUUAUGGUCUAAGUGUAAUGCUCAACAUUGUGAUGCUAUAAAAACUGUUUAGCUAGAGUAAGAUAGAGGCAAGUGGAAUUCCAUGUGUAGUGGUAAGAUGCGUAAAUAUAUGGAGGAACACCAGUAGCGAAGGCGGCUUGCUGGGUCUUUACUGACGCUGAGGCACGAAAGCGUGGGGAGCAAACAGGAUUAGAUACCCUGGUAGUCCACGCCGUAAACGAUGAGUACUAAACGUUGGUUAAAACCAGUGUUGAAGUUAACACAUUAAGUACUCCGCCUGAGUAGCACGUACGCAAGUAUGAAACUUAAAGGAAUUGACGGGACUCCGCACAAGCGGUGGAUCAUGUUGUUUAAUUCGAAGGUACCCGAAAAACCUCACCAGGUCUUGACAUGCUUCUGCAAAGCUGUAGAAACACAGUGGAGGUUAUCAGUUGCACAGGUGGUGCAUGGUUGUCGUCAGCUCGUGUCGUGAGAUGUUGGGUUAAGUCCCGCAACGAGCGCAACCCUUAUUGUUAGUUACCAGCACGUAAUGGUGGGGACUUUAGCAAGACUGCCAGUGAUAAAUUGGAGGAAGGUGGGGACGACGUCAAAUCAUCAUGCCCCUUGUGACCUGGGCUACAAACGUGAUACAAUGGCUGUUACAAAGGGUAGCUGAAGCGCAAGUUUUUGGCGAAUCUCAAAAAAACAGUCUCAGUUCGGAUUGAAGUCUGCAACUCGACUUCAUGAAGUUGGAAUCGCUAGUAAUCGCGAAUCAGCAUGUCGCGGUGAAUACGUUCGCGGGGUUUGUACACACCGCCCGUCAAAGGGCGACACGCGAUUGCAGUGUAACACGAGUGAUCCUGA
RNAcentral lists this ribosomal RNA (1287 nucleotides) under 'Pinus tabuliformis' witches'-broom phytoplasma. RNAcentral's name for it is "bacterial SSU rRNA". It matches the Rfam family "Bacterial small subunit ribosomal RNA", at positions 153 to 1443 of the family's 1533-position model. Lineage: Bacteria; Bacillati; Mycoplasmatota; Mollicutes; Acholeplasmatales; Acholeplasmataceae. The record is from RNAcentral.